AUCUGGUGCUGCAAUCAUGGUGCAACUCCUGGGCAAUUCAGGCCCCUGAUGUGAAUAUUUAGGGUGGAAAUAUUACACCAUGUGUUUUGGAACAAAAAUUGUAUCAAAUUCAACAGUGCAAUUGUGCUCAUGUGUACUCAGGAAUCGCUCCUAUUGAGUUCAUUGGAACUUACUCCCAGGUAACUGUGCAUGGUAUUGCAACCUGAAUGGUAGAUGUGUGAAAUCACUGUCGCAUGAUUUCCAGAAUACCCUGUUGGACAUGUCUUCCUGCUCACACCCAUUCAAGCAACCCCAUUCCAUAAUGGCUGAUUAUAUAACUUGAAAAAUAGCCCCUUUUCCAGCCUAUUAUCCAGCUUGUCAAAUAUGCAUUACAGACAAGCGGAGAAAAUUCAUAUUAAUCUCUCCUUAGCGCUACUUCAUGUUCAUCAAGGCCCUUUCAAGAUAUCGCACAAACAUGAGGGACGUUAAAAGGACUAAAAUCACUCAACGCCCCUUUGAAGACCAUUGAUAGCUGUCACCAAGACAAUAGAGGGCUGGAUUCCUUUUAAAAUUGCUAACUCAAUCAAAUCUCAGCUUAGCCUAUUUUUGGACUUUUUAUUUCUCUUCCUCAGGGUGCAGUUUCAAACUAGGACGUUUUCAAUAUUCCAAUUAUAAAACAAAAUCCAAACUGCACCAUUUUAGCAAAUUGCCUUACUUGCACUGUAGUACCUCUUUCUCAGGGGUGCAAUACCACGAAGGAGUCGCACUUGCCACAUGCCAUUGUUCCUCAGAAGCAGUGUGUGGAUUAUUUCUGACUCAUAAGAGAUAUGAAAAAGGAACCACAACAAACCCUUUAAAACUGCACCUCCUCCUUCUUCUCAGUUUAUACUCAAACACAUCCAAAAGCUGCUGCUGCUGUGGCUCGGUAAUGUCAUUGUUUAUGCUGUAUUGUUUAGCUUUAUUAUGACACACUGGUGCUACUGCUUAUUAGAUGAAUGCCUGUUUUGCACAUAAUGUCAAGCCAAACCAUGGCUAAGUGUGACAGCAUGGGAGUGCAGGUAUUUACAGGGGGGAGGAUGUGCCUGCUGAACUCCUGUCCUGGUCCUACUGCUGCCAAGCUACCUGUAGCUAAGCCAUUGUUUCGCUUCAGUGUUACAUCCAAAUCUCAUCUCAUGGUUUGUCUCACUUUAGACAAGCCUCCAGUGACCACCUUUCAAAGGAUACCAAACCCAGGUAAGCCCUGUGCUCCUGGAACUUCAAAAGUAAAGGCAGCAUAACAACACUUAUAUUAUUCUUUCACACUGGAACAUUUCCAACCUAUUAAAGUACAUCCAUUAAAAAAAGGAAUGUGUUUUUUUAGGUGGAGGCAGUUUGCAGGGUAAUGCAUAGGGGAGAUGGUGGGGUGGAGGGAAAAGGCCAGAAGAUCUCUGCGAUUCUCUGCUAUGAUUCGAUAGAACUGCUGGUAUAUGUGUGGAGGCACUUUGGGGAUGAACUUAGAAGUAAGUCAGUGUUAUUAACAUUCCGUUGGAGAAGCCUUUCCCCAUUCUUUUAAGAGCAAAACUGGUAGCUGCUUUUCCCACAUGUAACAGCGGUUCAGGACGGCAGCUAUUCAUGCAUAUCAGCAUUUGAGUAGAAAGCUGUUUCCUCUCCCUCUGCACUGCAGGUCCCACCCCCCAUUACAAAAAACUUAAGUCAUGUACCUCCUUAUGAAAGGUGCUCACUGUUCAUUCAGAGAUGGCUUUGCUAGAUUAUUUUCCAAGCAGCAAAAUGUGUUCAUGAAGAUCUUUCAGCAAGUCUUGGCUUCAGAUACAGAGGGCAAAAGUUCUCCUUUGAAAAUACUGGAGGCUUCUCAUGUCUGUAUGUUUUGAAAAGGUGGGCUACUAAAGCCACCUCAGAUAAAGUAGCAGACACAGAAGAACAUAAAAACCAGUCACUCACUCUCGGCUUCCAUUUGCGCAGGAGCGUGCCCAAGUGACAUAUAAAUCCUGUGGGAUGUACUUUGCCUAGGAAUCUAUCUUAGUUAUGCUGUCAGCUUCAUGUCUUCUGCAAUGAUCAGUUGUGCUGAGUGGUGGUUUUAUUUUUCUUGCUACGGGCUAUAAAACUGUAGAAGUGCUUAGACAUCUGCUUCUGAUGACUGGUGAUCACUAAUUUCUGCAUCACACAUGGAUCGUUUAAAAAUUUGCAGUGUUUCAGUUAUUUACAGUACUGUAAGUUUUCCCCUAAAGCCUCAAGCAGGAAAAAUAAUAAUUAAAAACCAAGAAAUAAACAUUCUGAAUGCAGUUUGAAUUCAGCUCUCUCGCAAUUGAUGGGAGCCUGGGCCACUGGUCCAUCUAGCUCUGUAUUGUCUACACUAGUUGGCUGCAGCUCUCCAAGGAUUCGGACAGAGGUCUUUCUCAGCCCUGUCCAGAGAUUCAAGGGACUGAACUGGUGAAGUUUCAUGUAACACACACACACACACACACACACACACGUUCUGUCAUGGAGAUAAAUGUAAAUAGUGAAAUGUAAAUAUCUUGACUUGGUGCUGAAAGUAUAUUUAAAUAUUUUUCUAGAAAAAUAGGUUGUUCUAGGAAAGUGUCUUUGGACCUUUAUAGUAGUUUUUUCUUCCUAAUAUUUACACCCAUAAGAUACAAGUGGAAAAUGGAAAAGCCACACUGAGUACAGUUGCUCCAGAUUUCUAUUCAUGGUUAGGGUUGACCAGUCUUCUUGUUGUUCUUCUGUAACUUUUUGCCUCUUUACCAUUUCCUUGUCCUUAUUUGUUUGUCUUGACAUAGCCUCCCUCCCAUGUUCCUUCAUCAAAAUAAAUAAAUAAAUCAUUCCCUCAGUGCACACGCCUAUGUAUGUAGUAUUGGACUUUUCUGGACACUAUUUAGGAUUAAUGAUUAAUGAUGAUUAUGAACUGGUUAUGACCUACAGAGUUCUAAUUAGCACAUUCCAUGUGUAAAUUGCAUCUUUCCAUUAGUCUCAUCACAAUUGCUAAGAUUGACUGACAGUACCCUGCUAAUAAUUUUAUCUGCACUCCACCUUGAAUAGCAGUGAUAGACUGAAAUGCCUCUCGUUAACACCUCCGUAUUUCCUUUGUGGGUCAUAAACUCAAAUAAAUUGCUACACAAACCUUUGAAAGAAGCCCAUGGAAGUUGUCAUUCAAUCCCACCCAACAACUAGCCAAAUAUAACAAUAUUUGUAGCAUGUCAAUGCCUGGGAGAAAAUCCCCCAAACCACUUUCACUUCAUAAGGUUUGUGUUGCCUGGUUACCCCAAAGCAAUUUUUACUCUCCAUAGGUGAUCAGGUGAGUUGUUUUUUACAAACCUGAGUAAAAUAGUCAGUGACACAUUUUUACUGCAACUCUCAAAUAUAACGUAAGUCAUAGGAGCUGCUCCACAGUGUGUCAUGGGGUUGAACACCUGUGCUCCUUCCAUAUUUAUAUUCUAGAGGAGCAUAUUUUAAAAUAAGAAUUCCCAUAAAUCCAUAAGCACCAGCUUCACUUUCCUUCUGAUAUAAACAGCAAUUCUGCUUAGUGGGAAUCCACUGAGUACUUCAACUUCCAUCAUACAUCUGAAGAUGUACAAUUCACAUUUUUCCUGUAAAUGCAAAAGCCCUAUUAUCCAGCUCCCCAGGUUUCUUUUGUACUUACUUUUUCAGUAUUUAGUUGCUAUCAUGAAAAGCACACUCAGCUAAUUAAUAUGGACGAUGCCUUUCACCGAGGAAGAAUACUUCAGAAAAAUCUACAGAAUAAGCAAUUUGAGAUGUAAUACAGGUGCAUAGCACAGAUACUGCUGCAAGGUAGAAGAAAUCUGCCUCCCCAUUUAGUGCACUUGUUUUACUGAAAUUUUUUAAACCUUGUACAUGGUUUUCAAAGAGCUUAAUAACUGCAAACCUUAAAUCCCAGUUGUAUUCCAUUUUGAAAACUUUGGCACCAAAGCAAGCAUGUGACAUUCUAAAUUCCAAUACAUGUCAUUGGAGAAAUACAGUCCUGUAAAAAAAAAAAAAGGCCAGCCCUUAUUAUAUGCUUUUCUGGCUACCUAAGAAGUGACCAAUUCAUUCUGUUGCAAGCCAUUAAAAGUACGUUUCUGUAUAUUAAUUUUGAUGCCUCAUCCACAGAGAGGCUCUGCUCUUUUCACUGCAGGGUCUAGCUGUAGAUUAAUCUUUAAGUGAUUUUGAUUACAUGUUAAUGAACUAAAUUAUGCUCAGAAAGUUUUUAAAAUAUAAAACCUGCCACCAUGAGAUUUCUAAUGGGCCUUUGCUAAUAUUGUUAAAUGCAACGGGAAACCUAUUAUCAUAUACAAUAGGACAUAAUUAGUCAUAACUAGCAGUGUUGACUUAAUUAGUUGCCUUGCUUUACAUCUUUGGUGUACAAAAAGGAGCAGUCUCUGAAACCCCUUAUAAACGGGGUUUGGGGGGAUGGGGUGUCCUUUUGUGUUCUUUAGAAGCUGUUUGAAAAGGUAAUGAGAAAAUUAGCACAGUUUCCCAUGAGGGGAGGUGUGUGCUAUAAAGAAGAACAUGAAGGUUUAAUCCUAUCUCUUCCCCUGGAUCAUGGUUAAGGCUCCAUACUAUACAUACAAUCCAAGGUUUUUAUAUUGAUGCUUUUGAAAUAAAUGGGAGUUGAGAAGACUUAGCUCUAUUGAACUGGGCACAGGCCUGCAGCUACUAAAUAUAUCCAGUGGAUUGUUAAGUGUGCACAAUUUAGCACAAGACUGUAGCAAAGAAGAAGCAAAAUAGCUUUGAAGGCAAUAGACCCAUACAAUUAUAGACCUGGAAGGAAUAUCAUGGGACAUCUAAUAUAACUCACGGCUGAUGCAGGGAAGAACCACUGUAACUGUGGUUUCUCAUAUAAGAACAUUUAUUAACAACGUUAUUACAGGGGGUGGGGGGUUCUUAGAAGAACUUCUUAAAUGAUUUGUUCAAUAAAAUGUUCUGGAGAGGAAAGGGACUGGUGCUGGUUUUCAAUUUUUUUAAUGUAUUUUUUGCUAUUUCACCACUGUUAAUAGCACAUCAUAAUUUCUUUUAUUUCACUUUCAUACUUUGUAUUUUAGAGUAAUUUCCUUCUAUUAAAAUGAAUGAUGUCACUUGCAUUUUUCGACAUCACAUUCUUGCUGGUGUUAAACUAUGCAAUGCUAAUGACCCUGAACGUGUCAGCUAAUCACUCCUCCGCUCUCUGCUAUUUCAAAGCCUAUUUGUAUGUACAGUGCAAACUCAUAAGAACAUCAACAGCCCUGUUGCAUCAGACCAAAUAUCUUCUUUUUGUAUAGCAUCUCCUGUUUCCUACACUGUCCAACCAGAUGCCUAUGGGAUGUCCAGAGGCAUGACAUGAAAGCAGUAGCUUUCUCCUGCUGUCAUAUUUCCCAGAAACUAGCAAUCUACAGGUAGCAAAAGCCAUCAGAACUAGCAGCUAUGGAUAGGGUUAUUAUCCAGGAUUUAGUCUAUCCCAUUUUAAAAUCCAUCCAAGUUGGUGGACAUUGCUACAUCUUGAAUUUCAUAGGUUAACUGGGGAGGAAUGAGGUGGCAAGAGAGUCAGGGCUGCACAGAUGUGCCUGUGGAACCCCAGCCUGCCUUGCCAGACCUCACCCCUCCUGGUAUGCUAUUUCUGCAGUUCUGCCAUACCAGGCAAGGUGCUCCUGGCUUUGUGAAUAUGUAUUAUAUGGGUAAAGAAUAAGCGAAUGGUGACCUAUAAUUCUAGGGGGGAAAGUAUAUCCAUAUCCACAUUCUCCACGCUUUCCAUCUCCUUUCGCCACACCUACGAUAUAUCUCAUUACUUUUUCUAAACAGAAACCACCAAACUUUUUAACCUUUUGCCCUAGAGAGGUUGCUCUACUUUAGCUCCAAGCUCACUUUUCUAGUUAUACAAUAUCAUUUUUGAGAUGUGGCAACCAGACAGCAUUUCAAGUGUUGUGACACCAUUAUCUUUGUACAAAGGCAUUAUACGAUGUAGUUUAUUUUGUAGCCCUCUCCUAAUGAUGCUGAAUAUCCCUUUUCAUAGCUGCUGUUCACUGGGUUGAUAUUUUUGUGAAGCUAUCCACCAUGACACCAAUAUCGCUCUCCUCAUCAUUCACUGUCAACUCAGACACUCUCAGUGUAUAUGUGGCAUUAGGAUUUUUUGCCCUGUCGUAUGUCUCUUUAAACUUACAUUUGCCAUUUUUAAAAGUUCAUUCAUUCAAUUCAUCCAGUCUAGAGAGAACCUUUUGCAACUCCUCACAAUUCCUUUUGUUUUUACCACCCUGAAUAAUUUGGUGUCAGCAAACUGGGUCACCUCAUUCUUCAUCCCUAACUCUAGGCUGUUUUCUGGCCCUAGCACUAGUCCAAUACACAUCUUACAUCCCUCCAUUGUGAGAACUGUCAGUUUGUUCCUACUGACUGCUUCCUGUUUUUUUAACCAGUUACCAAUCUGUAAGAGGUCUUUUCCUGUUAUCCCAGGACUGCCACGUUUACUCAGUCCCUCACC
RNAcentral lists this long non-coding RNA (6418 nucleotides) under Podarcis lilfordi (Lilford's wall lizard). Lineage: Eukaryota; Metazoa; Chordata; Lepidosauria; Squamata; Lacertidae. The record is from RNAcentral.